RNAcentral lists this non-coding RNA (21 nucleotides) under Caenorhabditis elegans. The record is from RNAcentral. Lineage: Eukaryota; Metazoa; Nematoda; Chromadorea; Rhabditida; Rhabditidae.
UAAGGAAUGCUUUCUCAAGAA